This 252-nucleotide ribosomal RNA is filed under the name uncultured bacterium. Its description in RNAcentral is "partial 16S ribosomal RNA". It matches the Rfam family "Bacterial small subunit ribosomal RNA", at positions 524 to 776 of the family's 1533-position model. The record is from RNAcentral.
UACGGAGGAUCCGAGCGUUAUCCGGAUUUAUUGGGUUUAAAGGGUGCGUAGGCGGGUUGUUAAGUCAGCGGUAAAAUUGCGGUGCUCAACGCCGUAGAGCCGUUGAAACUGGCGGCCUUGAGUGGGCGAGAAGUAUGCGGAAUGCGUGGUGUAGCGGUGAAAUGCAUAGAUAUCACGCAGAACCCCGAUUGCGAAGGCAGCAUACCGGCGCCCUACUGACGCUGAGGCACGAAAGUGCGGGUAUCGAACAGG